This 253-nucleotide ribosomal RNA is filed under the name uncultured bacterium. RNAcentral's name for it is "partial 16S ribosomal RNA". It matches the Rfam family "Bacterial small subunit ribosomal RNA", at positions 524 to 776 of the family's 1533-position model. The record is from RNAcentral.
UACGUAGGGUGCGAGCGUUAAUCGGAAUUACUGGGCGUAAAGCGUGCGCAGGCGGCUUGCCAAGUCAGAUGUGAAAGCCCCGGGCUCAACCCGGGAACUGCGUUUGAAACUGGCAGGCUAGAGUUUGGCAGAGGGGGGUGGAAUUCCACGUGUAGCAGUGAAAUGCGUAGAGAUGUGGAGGAAUACCGAUGGCGAAGGCAGCCCCCUGGGCCAAUACUGACGCUCAUGCACGAAAGCGUGGGGAGCAAACAGG